CUCUGCUGCGUGCACUGCAUGCUCCUCGUGUUUUGGAUACUGCGAGAUGCUGUGGUCUCCUUCGGAGGAGUAUGGAGCUGUCUGAGUGUAUCGAGUGUUAGGGCUGCAGUGAAAAUCAACUCUUUAAUAUAUGAUGUAAAGGCAGAUGCUGGAAGCAUGAUCUCAAGAGAAUAGCGCACGAAGAGAUCAUUGAGUCUUUGGGGAGGCCAUUGGGCGGCGUGCAGAAGGCAAGGGAUAUGGCCUCACUCUGUGAACAGCGAGGUUAAACCGAUGUUUUAUACCUGUGCUUGUCAGGCAGUCCCACCCAGCCCAGCACUAAGUCAGGGUGGUGUCACCGCAGUAGAGGCAGUGAGCUGGGAUUCAUCUUGCUAACGUGCAUCAAGGGUGUAUAUGACUCGCUUACUCAUUAUUCCCAGAGCGUACAUCCAUUGUCACCUUCUUGCCACAGCUUUGUACUGUUAGUUUGUAUUCUGUCAUGAUCGCCAAAAUCCUUCGCGGAGCCUCUGCUUUCCAGACAUAGCACCCUAGGAGUCUGCCUGGCAUUCCUUAU
This is a long non-coding RNA of Chroicocephalus ridibundus (black-headed gull), 550 nucleotides long. RefSeq lists it as uncharacterized. The record is from RefSeq and is a predicted model, not a curated record. Lineage: Eukaryota; Metazoa; Chordata; Aves; Charadriiformes; Laridae. The transcript has 3 exons.